GGAAGGUUGGCCGAGUGGCUGAAGGCACCUGAUUGAAACUCAGGCAGACGGGAAACUGUCUCGCGGGUUCGAAUCCCGCACCUUAUUA
RNAcentral lists this transfer RNA (88 nucleotides) under Ancylobacter polymorphus. Its description in RNAcentral is "tRNA-Phe". It matches the Rfam family "tRNA". From Rfam's summary of the family: Transfer RNA (tRNA) molecules are approximately 80 nucleotides in length. Their secondary structure includes four short double-helical elements and three loops (D, anti-codon, and T loops). The record is from RNAcentral. Lineage: Bacteria; Pseudomonadati; Pseudomonadota; Alphaproteobacteria; Hyphomicrobiales; Xanthobacteraceae.